ACAAACUUGGUCAUUUAGAGGAAGUAAAAGUCGUAACAAGGUUUCCGUAGGUGAACCUGCGGAAGGAUCAUUAACGAGUUUGAAAUGGGUUGUAGCUGGCCUUUCGAGGCAUGUGCACGCCCUGCUCAUCCACUCUACACCUGUGCACUUACUGUAGGCUUCCGGGGUGCUAUGGUGGGCUUUUUGCUCGCCUGGCCGUCGGUUCCUACGUUUACUACAAACGCUUCAGUAACAGAAUGUGUAUUGCGACGUUAACGCAUUUAUAUACAACUUUCAGCAACGGAUCUCUUGGCUCUCGCAUCGAUGAAGAACGCAGC
RNAcentral lists this unclassified non-coding RNA (317 nucleotides) under uncultured fungus. RNAcentral's name for it is "partial contains small subunit ribosomal RNA, internal transcribed spacer 1, and 5.8S ribosomal RNA". The stretch from base 1 to 73 matches the Rfam family "Eukaryotic small subunit ribosomal RNA", at positions 1759 to 1831 of the family's 1831-position model. The record is from RNAcentral. Lineage: Eukaryota; Fungi.